GGGUGCCAUCAUACCAGCACUAAUACACGGGAUUCCAUUAGAACUCCACAGUUAAGCGUGCUUGGGCGAGAGUAGUACAAGGAUGGGUUACCAUCUAGGAAGUCCUCGUGUCACACUCU
Ribosomal RNA from Impatiens glandulifera, 119 nucleotides. The record is from RefSeq and is a predicted model, not a curated record. Lineage: Eukaryota; Viridiplantae; Streptophyta; Magnoliopsida; Ericales; Balsaminaceae.